UUUCAAAAACAAACAAAAAGAAUUAUUACAGAUUAGGACUUUGUACUUACAUUUGUUAAUGAGGCUGUUUUAAUUUUCCAUUCACCAUUGCAGUAACUGCCCUUUCUCAAGGUACACUCUCUCCUGCCUCCAUACUCCAUGUAAAGAAACAGUCGGCUACGGGGCUUUUUAUCCCAGCUGAGAGGAACCUGCAGCCAGCGUGGCUGGCUGGUUUUGCCAUUCGCGGGGACCUUUCCUGAGGACGGCGUACGGAGUGUGGGGAAUGAAGGAUGGCAGCACACCAUGCGUUAGAAGCUGUUUUGGUAGAUCUCAGUGGCACACUUCACAUUGAAGAUGCAGCUGUGCCAGGCGCACAGGAAGCUCUUAAAAGGUUGCGUGGUGCUUCUGUAAUCGUUAGGUUUGUGACCAAUACGACCAAAGAGAGCAAGCAAGACCUGUUGCAAAGGUUGAGAAAAUUGGAAUUUGAUAUCUCUGAAAAUGAAAUAUUCACAUCUCUGACUGCAGCCAGAAGUUUACUAGAGCAGAAACAAGUCAGACCCAUGCUGCUAGUUGAUGAUCGGGCACUACCUGAUUUCAAAGGAAUACAAACAAGUGAUCCUAAUACUGUAGUCAUAGGAUUGGCACCAGAACAUUUUCAUUAUCAAAUUCUGAAUCAAGCAUUCUGGUUACUCCUGGAUGGAGCACCUCUGAUAGCAAUCCACAAAGCCAGAUAUUACAAGAGGAAAGAUGACUUAGCCCUGGGGCCUGGACCAUUUGUGACUGCUUUGGAGUAUGCCACAGAUACCAAAGCCACAGUCGUGGAGAAACCCGAGAAGACGUUCUUUUUGGAAGCAUUGCGAGGCACUGGCUGUGAACCUGAGGAGGCUGUCAUGAUAGGAGAUGAUUGCAGGGAUGAUGUUGGUGGGGCUCAGGAUGUUGGCAUGCUGGGCAUCUUAGUAAAGACUGGGAAAUACCGAGCAUCAGAUGAAGAAAAAAUUAAUCCACCUCCUUACUUAACUUGUGAGAGUUUCCCUCAUGCUGUGGACCACAUUCUGCAGCACCUGUUGUGAAGCAAUGUGUGCGUCUGAAGCAACUUGAAACGCAGCUUCUUAUUGUCUGGAAUGAAUCCCUGACCAACUCAGUGCCAGCAUCGGUAGACACACAUCAGUCAGUGCUGAUCGCUUUUUAACCCUCUUUUGUUGUGCAUUAAUUAGAAAGAAAGGUAUUGAAUUGUGGCCAGCCAGUAAGCCUUGCUAAUCUCUCUUGUUUUGUAACUGAAGAUGAGACCCAAAGAAAGGGAAAGCUGAGAUUUUGUGCCAUUCCUUUAAAAAUAUUCAUCAGGUUAGGCAGGGCUGGGAGGGAGAAGCUACCACAGGGAAGAGUGUUCUCUGCUGUCUCCUCACUGGAAAACAGGCGGGGGGGAUUUCAGACUGUGAGGAAAGUUGAAUGGUGGUUUUUAAAUUAUAAAGUAAUGUAUUAAAAGGUACAUUAGGCUGUAGUUCUAGUACUGAGUUCAACUGUGAAAUCCAUCAGAUGUGCCAAAUGGAGAAGACAGAAAGUAACAAAGAGAAUUGUCCUUUAGCCCAAGUGAUACAGUGAAUUUGCUUUAACAGAUGUUGAAAACUAAAUUUUCUACUGUAUUCCCAGCAUGGGUGACUUCUUUUUCUCUUCAUUAGCCAGAGAUGACUAAUUUAAAUUUAGAACCAGAAUUUAAUUUAAAAUAAUACUUCCAUUAAUAACCUAUUCAUUGCAGAUACCUAUUAUACUGUGUAACAGUUGUUUUGGAAAUUUUAUGUAAAAUUAAAACUAUCAGUAUUUUACAGAUGUUUUAAUUAGACAUUGUUAUUAACAGGAACAGUGCAGAAACUGGAAUCAAGCCUUGUAAUGUCUUAUAGACCAUGCAUUUUUGAAGUUAGUGUCCACUAGGGUCCUAUUAACUGUACAUUUGCAAGAUUUCAUUAUUUUUGCCUCUGACACUAUGGGAAAAAAUUUUUAGAAGCUAUUGGGACAGAUUCAAGCUUUUAUGUACUUGGUUACUACAGCUGUAAAAUGAAAUCUCGUCUUGUAGCAUGGAUUAUUCCUCUCAUGUUAAACCCACCAAAAUGAAGGGGACUAAAUAGGUAAUGAUUUUCCUAGUGCAUUUGCAUACUGUGACAACCCUGGGCCUUGCAAUAGUUUUACAGGGCUCUUGGGCAUUGAGUUAUGAGGAUGUAAUUGUACAUCAUUGUAGUGUUCACCUUAUUGAAGCUCACUCUGAUGUUAAUGAGCUUCGGGUUUUGAUGCUUGUUUAGCGAUCAGCAGUCUUGGAUGGGAGGGAACAAAGCUAAAUAAAUCGUAGUUUGGUGA
Molecule: RNA transcript, 2325 nt
Organism: Cercocebus atys (sooty mangabey)
Lineage: Eukaryota; Metazoa; Chordata; Mammalia; Primates; Cercopithecidae
Gene name: haloacid dehalogenase-like hydrolase domain-containing protein 2 pseudogene
Exons: 1
Source: RefSeq, a predicted model, not a curated record